Molecule: long non-coding RNA, 396 nt
Filed under: Scophthalmus maximus (turbot)
Lineage: Eukaryota; Metazoa; Chordata; Actinopteri; Pleuronectiformes; Scophthalmidae
Description: lncRNA (ENSSMAG00000028856.1)
Source: RNAcentral
AUGCUGAGAAAGGACAGGCGAAACCCAGGACCACCAACGGGAAAUUGGCAAUCCGAGGGACGCUGUCAAUGGGCCGCCAUGGUUCGACAAUACACAGACAGCGGGGGUCGUGGAUUCAGGGGCUGCCAGGUGACCUUUUCUGAUCCCAGUGGUGCCUCCAGAGUGCGGACCCUUGCCAGGGCACCUGGGAAUUACCUUGACGGCGGCGUAGUCAACGGCUGUCACCGAGCUCUUGUCUGUUUGAUGUCACCUCUGACACUGGCCUCUGUAGCAGUCGCGAGGAUACAAAGCGAUGCGUCGAUGGCCAGCCAUGGGAAAAAGCUGUCGGCAAGGUGGCUCAGCUGGCAGUGCCCAGGGCUCCCAUGGGGCAGAGAGUUGCCUGAAGUGGAGAGUUGA